GGUAGACGAUAAUUGCAUCCUUACUAAAUCCAUAUCCAUAGGUCCGACGAUUGAUUUGACUUUUUUUUAGUUAUUAUUCAACGUCUCCAUGAAAACUUCAUCAUCAUCAUCAUCAUCAGUGGUGGAGUUCCUUGAGAAGGUACCCUUGUUGCAUCGGUUAACUUCCUCUUCUCUGAAGAAAAUCGCCCAAGUCCUUGUCUUCAAGCGUUACGAGAGAGGGGAUUAUGUAGUUGGUAGAGAUGAUGAGGAGAUGGAGGGAGUCUAUUUUGUCGUGGAAGGACAGGUUUGGAUUGUUACUUUGUGUGACUCAUAUGAAGAUAAAAGACAAUUGCAACUUGUUAUGUUUUGUUUACAGGCUCAGGUUCUAGGACCUCUCGGAGAAGAGAACUGUUCGGAGUUUUUCUUGAAACCAUUUGAUUACUUCGGCCGUGGCAUUUUUGGGAAUGUUUAUGCAGUAGAUGUUGUUGCUGUCUCACAGCUUACCUGCCUACUCUUGACUUGUGAUCAUUGUCAUUUGCUUGAGACAAAGCCAAUGUGUGAUUCAGAUAACGAACGCUCUCUACUGGAACGCAUUUUGUAUAUGGAUCCAUUAGAUUUGAAUGUAUUCAGGGGGUUCACUCUACCCAAUGCCCCAGCCCUUGGAAAGGUUUUCGGAGGGCAAUUUGUUGCACAGGGACUUGCCGCAGCCUCAAAAACUGUUGAAUUUAUGAAGUUAGUCCAUAGUUUACACGCCUAUUUCCUUCUUUCUGGAGAUACUAAUAGUAAGGACUUUAAUCUCAAUAUGCUUUUGCUAGCAAGCACAUUGCUGUUUUCCUCUGAAAGUUCUCUUGCAGUUCCCAUCAUAUAUGAAGUUAGCCGCUUACGCGAUGGCAACAACUUUGCCACCCGAAGAGUAGAUGCAAGACAGAAAGGAAAAACCAUAUUCACCUUGUUCGCAUCAUUUCAGAGAGAGCAACAAGGUUUUGAUCACCAGGAGUCGAACAUGCCUCAUAUGCUACCUCCUGAAACGCUUGUAUCAAGGGAUGAAAUGCUUCAACGGCGUAUGACUGACCAUCUGAUACCUAGGUAUUACCGAAAUAAAGUUGCAACCCAAUAUACUGCCCCACUGCCUAUAGAUAUUCGAUUUUGUGAGCCAAAUUACUCUACAGAAGAGAGAAAGUCUCCUUCAAGAUUGAAAUAUUGGUUUAAGGCAAGGGGAGAACUUUCUGACGACCAGGCUUUGCACCGAUGUGUGGUUGCAUUUGCUUCAGAUUUGAUGUACGCCUUUAUCAGUUCAGACCCUCACCUUAAAAAGCGCAUGAGUGCAGUUCCUGUUAGCCUUGACCAUUCGAUGUGGUUCCACCGACCUCUAAGAGCUGAUGACUGGCUCCUCUUUGUGAUGGUGAAUCUAACAGCGUCUCAAAGUCGUGGUUUAGCAACUGGAGAAAUGUUCAACAGAAAGGGAGAGGUACGUUGUUGUAUCCUUCUUAGUCUUAAGUACACAUACUCAGAGACCAGCUGAAGAAGCUUUGUGGAGUUCUCUCAUAUGCUCCCCUUAAUCAUCAAUCAAAUCUUCGAUGAAAGAGUUAUUGGACUGUGCAGCUGGUGGUAUCGUUGAAGCAAGAAGCUUUGCUCAAAGAAACUGUGACUGGUAACCCCAUCUUGGACUCCAAGCUGUGAGUGAUAGUCUAUCACUGAUAGACGUACCACAUACAUACAAGGGAGUUUUUGCAGCUGAUACAUUCUAAUGCUUGAAUGAUUAUUUCCCCUCGAUAAAGGGGGUAUUGAAUGUAUAUUAUACUGCGAUAUUUGGUCAACAAUGUUUUUAAAGAAAAAAUCGAACCGGGAAUUAGUGACGGUUUAAAAUUAGGGAUUUGGUUAGGGUAUAUUCACGUUUCAAGUAAUAAUAUACUUGUAAGCAAGAAGAAGCUUUGCUCAAACAUAAAAAUAAUAUACUUGUAAAUUUUGAAUA
RNA transcript from Brassica rapa (field mustard), 1951 nucleotides. It is a transcript of the gene named acyl-CoA thioesterase 2, with no coding region annotated. The record is from RefSeq and is a predicted model, not a curated record. NCBI's taxonomy places the organism in Eukaryota, Viridiplantae, Streptophyta, Magnoliopsida, Brassicales, Brassicaceae.